GAUGAACGCUGGCGGCGUGCCUAAUACAUGCAAGUCGAGCGAACAGACGAGGAGCUUGCUCCUCUGACGUUAGCGGCGGACGGGUGAGUAACACGUGGAUAACCUACCUAUAAGACUGGGAUAACUUCGGGAAACCGGAGCUAAUACCGGAUAAUAUAUUGAACCGCAUGGUUCAAUAGUGAAAGACGGUUUUGCUGUCACUUAUAGAUGGAUCCGCGCCGCAUUAGCUAGUUGGUAAGGUAACGGCUUACCAAGGCAACGAUGCGUAGCCGACCUGAGAGGGGUAUCGGCCCACCGGAACUUGGGCCCCGGCCCAACCCCCUAGGGGGGCCAGCAGUGGGGACUUUUCCGAAAGGGGCGAAACCCUGACGGAGCACCGCCCGGUGAGUGAUGAAGUUCUUCGGUUCGUAAACCCCUUUUUUUGGGGAAGAACAAAUUUGUAAGUAACUAUGCCCGUCUUGACGGUACCUAAUCAGAAAGCCCCGGCUACCUCCGU
RNAcentral lists this ribosomal RNA (496 nucleotides) under uncultured bacterium. RNAcentral describes it as "partial 16S ribosomal RNA". It matches the Rfam family "Bacterial small subunit ribosomal RNA", at positions 28 to 506 of the family's 1533-position model. The record is from RNAcentral.